AGAACGAACGCUGGCGGCGUGGAUAAGACAUGCAAGUCGAACGGAUCUGUUUGCGUAGCAAUACGUGAGCAGGUUAGUGGCGCAAGGGUGCGUAACACGUGGGCAACCUGCCCUGGGGUUCAGGAUAGCCCGCCGAAAGGCGGAUUAAUACUGGAUGUGGCUACCGGCUGAUUAGCCGGGACGCUAAAGGUGGCGCAAGCUGCCGCUCCUGGAUGGGCCCGCGGCCUAUCAGCUCGUUGGUGAGGUAACGGCUCACCAAGGCUAUGACGGGUAGCUGGUCUGAGAGGACGACCAGCCACACUGGAACUGAGACACGGUCCAGACACCUACGGGUGGCAGCAGUCGAGAAUUUUUCGCAAUGGGGGCAACCCUGACGGAGCGACGCCGCGUGGAGGAUGAAGGUCUUCGGAUUGUAAACUCCUGUCAUUGGUGAACAAAGCACUGAGUUAACUGCCUUGGUGCCUGCUAGUAGCCGAAGAGGAAGGACG
This 488-nucleotide ribosomal RNA is filed under the name uncultured soil bacterium. RNAcentral's name for it is "bacterial SSU rRNA". It matches the Rfam family "Bacterial small subunit ribosomal RNA", at positions 26 to 494 of the family's 1533-position model. The record is from RNAcentral.